UUCCAGUUUCCAAGGAACUGCAAGGGCAAAAAAUAUACUUCUGAAAUAACAUAAACAAAAUUGAAGUAUACAACAUCUCUCUCUUACUCUCUAGACUAGAUCUCUCUCUCUCUCUCUCUCUCUCUCUCUCUCUUGAAUAGUAGUCUCCUCUUAUUUCUUUUUCAUUUUUCUGAUCACUUGUUUUGAUAGGAGGGUUGGGAUUAAUAUCCCAAGUUGAUAUGAUACUACAGUAACAGUAGUAGUCUAGGUUCUAUGCAGAGGAAUUAGAGGGGGUCUGCUCCUGCUGAUAAAACUUGCCUUUCCAUUAGUACAAGAUGCUGAAAAUCUUGAGGCUUUCUUCAAUAUAGCUGGCUUAGGAAGAGUAUAUGACUUGUAAGAAUCCAAUCCAGCUCCAUAGCUUUUGCAAGACUUCAUUUUCCUUUUGUAAGGUGAUUCUUUCUUAACAAGAUCCUCUAAACUUGUCACUCUUGAUAAAGAUGUAAAAGACUGUGAUUUGCCUUGAUAAAACUUGGAUAAUCCCCUCCUGCAAUAUUCAUAAAUGAAAAGUAUAAGAAUUCCACCAUCAAAUUUCAUUUCUCAUGAUAACAAGAUUAAUCAUUUUAAGUUGUAAUUCAUCAAAAGAGAUUCUUUUCUGUUGUUACUACUUUUGUUCAAUUUUACAUAAACACUAUUUUUUUAUUAUUCCGUUCCAAAACGAAUGAUUCACCAUCUCCUUACUUACAUAACAUGAACUACUUAAGGUCCAAGAUUACUUUUGUAUGUGCCAAAAAUCAAUUAUUUCUUCCUUAAAUUCGGCUCACAUAACGCAAAACGAUAAAAGUACUUACUUGAUAGGUAAUUGUGCCAUGAGAGAUGAUAAGUCAUAUAAAGCUUCAUCAGAAUUAGGUGAACAAGAAGAGGGAGAUGAAGAUGCAUCAUCUGUUGUGUCUAAUG
This 933-nucleotide long non-coding RNA is filed under the name Nicotiana tabacum (common tobacco). RNAcentral describes it as "long non-coding RNA (NTAB_LNC018609)". Lineage: Eukaryota; Viridiplantae; Streptophyta; Magnoliopsida; Solanales; Solanaceae. The record is from RNAcentral.